Molecule: ribosomal RNA, 363 nt
Filed under: Ribes hudsonianum (northern black currant)
Lineage: Eukaryota; Viridiplantae; Streptophyta; Magnoliopsida; Saxifragales; Grossulariaceae
Source: RNAcentral
UCUAAACCUUUCUUGCGAUGCUAGUGAGCGUUUUCGAUGGAUACGGCUAUAAYAUCUCAAUUUGUUGUCAUCACAGAUGAAUGAGUGAUGUAAUUCAUACGAUAAUACACGGAAAUCGACGAUUUUCAAUUGUUUCUGUAUCUGUUUUUAUCCUUCUGCGCAUUUAGAAGUCAUUUCUACGUAAAUUUAGAUUAUUUGURAAUUUGUCGUCAUUCCCAUUUUAAUGUUUUAUAUAGAAUGAAAAAGAUUUUCAAACUAUAUCCGUCCCACUUUUUUUUUUUUGUUUAGUUUCUUUUUUAUUUUUUAAUUGACAAAUAGAAAAUGUUUUCGCAAAAUGAGUUAUAUACGAAUAGUGUGCAGGUG